RNAcentral lists this ribosomal RNA (342 nucleotides) under uncultured bacterium. Its description in RNAcentral is "bacterial SSU rRNA". It matches the Rfam family "Bacterial small subunit ribosomal RNA", at positions 9 to 314 of the family's 1533-position model. The record is from RNAcentral.
GAGUUUGAUCGUGGCUCAGGAUGAACGCCGGCGGUGUGCCUAAUACAUGCAAGUCGUACGCACUGGCCCAACUGAUUAAUGGUGCUUGCACCUGAUUGACGAUGGAUCACCAGUGAGUGGCGGACGGGUGAGUAACACGUAGGUAACCUGCCCCGGAGCGGGGGAUAACAUUUGGAAACAGAUGCUAAUACCGCAUAACAACAAAAGCCACAUGGCUUUUGUUUGAAAGAUGGCUUUGGCUAUCACUCUGGGAUGGACCUGCGGUGCAUUAGCUAGUUGGUAAGGUAACGGCUUACCAAGGCGACGAUCAGUAGCCGGACUGAGAGGUUGGCCGGCCACAUU